UGGGGAAUUUUGCGCAAUGGGGGAAACCCUGACGCAGCAACGCCGCGUGAGUGAUGAAGGCCUUCGGGUCGUAAAGCCCUGUCAGGUGGGAAGAAAGGUUUCAAGGAGAAACACUUGGGAUUUGACGGUACCACAAGAGGAAGCACCGGCUAACUCCGUGCCAGCAGCCGCGGUAAUACGGAGGGUGCGAGCGUUAUUCGGAAUUACUGGGCGUAAAGCGCGUGUAGGCGGGGAUGCAAGUCUGAUGUGAAAGCCCUGGGCUUAACCUGGGAAGUGCAGUGGAAACUGCAUUUCUUGAGUACUGGAGAGGAAGGGGGAAUUCCCGGUGUAGAGGUGAAAUUCGUAGAGAUCGGGAGGAAUACCAGUGGCGUAGGCGCCCUUCUGGACGGUUACUGACGCUGAGACGCGAAAUCGUGGGGAGCAAACA
Molecule: ribosomal RNA, 427 nt
Filed under: uncultured prokaryote
Description: bacterial SSU rRNA
Rfam family: Bacterial small subunit ribosomal RNA
Source: RNAcentral